GGGUAGUUUGACUGGGGCGGUCUCCUCCCAAAGAGUAACGGAGGAGCACGAAGGUUGGCUAAGCAUGGUCGGACAUCAUGCGGUUAGUGCAAAGGCAUAAGCCAGCUUGACUGCGAGAGUGACGGCUCGAGCAGGUACGAAAGUAGGUCUUAGUGAUCCGGUGGUUCUGAAUGGAAGGGCCAUCGCUCAACGGAUAAAAGGUACUCCGGGGAUAACAGGCUGAUACCGCCCAAGAGUUCAUAUCGACGGCGGUGUUUGGCACCUCGAUGUCGGCUCAUCACAUCCUGGGGCUGAAGUAGGUCCCAAGGGUACGGCUGUUCGCCGUUUAAAGUGGUACGCGAGCUGGGUUUAGAACGUCGUGAGACAGUUCGGUCCCUAUCUGCCGUGGGCGUUGGAAGAUUGAAAGGGGCUGCUCCUAGUACGAGAGGACCGGAGUGGACGCACCACUGGUGUUCGGGUUGUCAUGCCAAUGGCAUUGCCCGGUAGCUAAGUGCGGAAGAGAUAACCGCUGAAAGCAUCUAAGCGGGAAACUUGCC
RNAcentral lists this ribosomal RNA (536 nucleotides) under Providencia rettgeri. Its description in RNAcentral is "partial 23S ribosomal RNA". It matches the Rfam family "Bacterial large subunit ribosomal RNA", at positions 2263 to 2798 of the family's 2925-position model. The record is from RNAcentral. RNAcentral also lists the same sequence under 5 other names. Lineage: Bacteria; Pseudomonadati; Pseudomonadota; Gammaproteobacteria; Enterobacterales; Morganellaceae.